AGAUUACGAGUUAACAGUCUACGACAAAACAGAUAUUGAAAACAAAUCAAUAUCAGGUGGCGAGUCAAGGAAGUCAUCAAAGAUAUUGCUAUUACAAUUUAGAACCACCAAAUUUUGCACCUGCCGACACUUUCCCAAGCCUUGGCUUUGGUUUUAAGCUCCCUGUCCGAACCUAGUAACCAUUUUACUUCUCUUUCUCCAAAAAGUAACAUGCAUGGCUAAGCUUACUGGAUACUGGUUCUUGACAAGGAAAAGUGUCAUCAGCAACACUUGCUUGAAGCAGAAAGAGAGAGAGAAAACUGAAUUUGCGGCUUUUGGUGGUGUCUUUUGUCAUUUUAUAGGCAGUUCAUCUACAAUUUUCUCUUUCAAGUACUUUCUUUGGAGUUUCUGUUGAGUCCGGAUUACUGUCAUUCUUGGUCUUGGUUGGGUGCUUAAUUUUUUUUUAUAUUUGGAUGGUCACAACUGUCUUCCUUUUUCUUGAUACUUCAUAAUUUGUUUUCUGGUACUGGUUUUCUUUUCUGUGAGGAUACUUGAGGUGAGAAUUCUGUAUUUUUUGAAGCUUUUUAGUUCAGGAAACUGUUUUGAUUUCUAACGCUUCUAGCCUAUUGUAAUCCUUCUAGCUUACACAAGCCAAUUUCUAUCAGUUUUAUAGUACUGAAUUUUAUUGUUAUGAGUUCUUUGACACUUAGCUGUAAGCCAUAGUGUUUUCCCUCUUAAAUGAUUUCUGGGUGUCAACGAGUUGUUUAUGAUCUGCGGAUAUUUGUGUUUUUGUAGAAUUGAGUGAAAGCAUAUCAAACUAGAUUUUAUAGCUAUACUUUAGGCCUUCCGAUUGCUUCUUUACAAUGCUUUCCAGUAAAUCUGAAUCUGAUAUCACAAGUUUAGCCCCAUCAUCACCGUCAAGGUCUCCAAAACGCCCUCUAUAUUAUGUACAGAGCCCUUCAAGGGAUUCACAUGAUGGGGACAAGUCCUCUUCAAUGCAACCAAGUCCAAUGGAGUCACCUUCACACCCCUCCUUUGGUCGUCACUCGAGGAAUUCAUCGUCUAGUAGGUUUUCCGGGAUAUUCAGAUCCUUUUCAGGGAGGAAAGGUAGCAGGAAAAGAAACGAUAAAGGCUGGAAUGAUAAAGGUUGGCCUGAAUGUAAUGUGAUCAUGGAAGAAGGGGACUAUGAUGAGGAUAAAGCAUUUACUAGGCGGUUUCAGGCCUUGAUUGCUUUGUGUAGUUUUAUAAUCUUGUUUACUGUUUUUUGCUUGAUUAUAUGGGGCGCUAGCCGGCCUUUCAAAGCAGAGAUUACUGUCAAGGUAUAAGCCUUUUUUUUUUUCAGUUUCUCAUGAUAUUUCUUCAAUAUCAUUAGACUAAUGUUUGAAGAUAUUUGAAUAAUGAUUGUGGAUAAGAGGGUGAGGUCUAGUACAAUGGCAUCGUUGUUCUUUUAUGAGUGUAAGGUCAUGAAUUUGAGUUGUGAAAAUAGUCUGUGUAACAUAUAAAAGGAAAGCUAUGUAGGAUAAAUGACCCUUUCCUCCUCUGAUCCUGGCAAAGCCAUGAGUUUCGCGCGUUUUUUAGUAUGGAUAAGAUAAAAAUAGAGGUAAACUAACGCUGCUUUACCAUUUUUGAACUGCAAUAUAAGCCCUUUGUUAAUGAUUUUGAAGUUGUGUUAUGGUCGUGAAAGAAUGGUUAACUUUGCAAUAAUUUGCUUCUUUUUAAUGUGUUUUUGGGGUUUUGUCUGUCCAGCUGAAGUGGGACAAAAAAACAAAGGAAAUGAAUGGUUUUGUGGGGUAAAAUGCUUUAUAAAGCAAACUUGAUAUUUACUUUGAGCACCAUUCAAUUGCUUAUCAUAAAAUUCUACUUUUUGUUUCAUUUGCUUGUCAUAAAAAUCCAAGUUGAGUUUGAAUGGAUGAUUCAAUAGUUAGCUAUUUGAUAUGUUCAGUUUUUUUGUGCUUUAAGAAGAUUUUGAGGCAGUUUUUUAAAGCAAUAAGAGAUUUUUAUGGUGAACAGUCAUCAAAUGGAAGGGAGUCAUUGUGCAUUGAGACCUCUUAAUGUUCUUCUGAAACUUGGAUCAUCUCAAACACCUCAUGUAGAAGAUCAAUCUUACUGUUAUAUUAUGUGUGUCAAUCACAAAUUGAUCAUUCUAAUAUUUUCUGUGUUGAAUGCCAUUGCUAAUGGGAAAUGUGACACUUGCAGAGCUUUUCAGUAAGUAAUUUUUAUGUUGGGGAAGGUUCAGACUUCUCUGGUGUUCCAACGAAGAUGCUUACAGUGAAUGGCUCAUUGAGAAUGAGCAUACACAAUCCUGCAACAAUAUUUGGCAUUCAUGUUAGCUCCACACCAAUCAAUCUCAUAUACUCAGAAAUCCCUGUUGCAACUGGUCAGGUAACAAUUCUUUCCAUAGUCAUACGUUCCAACAGGUUGUGAUAUAGAAAAACCAAUCCAAUUUAGUAAAGGAUGGUGGGUCUUUUGGAUUCUAAUUAGACCCUUCAGAGCAAAGAGAUAUCUGGUAUGCACUUUAAGCUGUAAUUGUAUGGCUGUAUCUCUUUUGUUCCUGAUAAACUUUUGGAUUCUGAUUAGACCCUUCAGAGCAAAAAGGCAUCUAGUAUGCAAUUUAAGCUUUUAUUUGUAAUGGUAGUAUCUCUUUUGUACCUGACAAAAAUUUCAAGGUUAAGUCAAGAACUUGAGAUGUUUUCUGUUAGAAGUAUGAAAUUUUCUCCAUUAUCUGCUUUUCUUGGCCUUUUUGGGCAUGUCAAGCAAUGCUAAUUCUUAUCUAAUAUUGCAGUUGAAGAAAUACUAUCAACCUAGAAAGAGUCGACGAACAGUAUCAGUGAUUGUGGAAGGGGAUAAGGUUCCACUGUAUGGAGCUGGAUCAAGUUUAACAGUUUCACAAACUGGCAUUGUAGUUCCAUUGACACUGAAAUUCGAAAUCCGGUCUCGAGGGAAUGUAGUGGGGAAGCUAGUGAGGACGAAGCAUCGAAAGCUAAUCUCUUGCCCUGUGGUUCUUGAUUCCACUAGCUCCAAACCCAUCAAAUUCAAGAAGGGUACAUGCACAUAUGAUUGAUCUGCUAUCUGAAGAGUUAAACCUAUGAUUCAUGUCCUUGUGGGCAUUACAGCUCAUCCACAGCAGUUUGAGACUGAGUUGCUGAGCUUCACAGAAGACAUCAGUAGCACUUGAAGAAAAUGCAGCUACUUGAACUUCCUUCUCUCUUUGUUUUAUAUUGUGGUCCUGGUAAUGUGAGAAAUAAGUGUUUUAUCGUUCGUAUUAGUGGCUAUGUGCAUAAUGUAUGUAUGAUUAAUGUUGUUGAGAGGUUUUGUACACCAUAAGAAAUAGUGUGACAAUGUCGUUAUUUGUUUUCUAAAAUUUAAUAUCAUGCAAGGGUGAUAUAGAAGAAAAAUAAAAUCCCAAUCCAAAUAAGGGAAAAUAGUAUUCAAAGAACAUGGUACUUUUUGCUGUAACUGCAAUAUUGGAUUACCCAAUGCUAAACGUUUAAGAUGUAGUUCAAAUUUCAUUUUUUAACCAUAGUUUGUUAGAUUUAGAUGGUAUUUGUCGUAACUUACUCAUAUUAGAGUCUGCAAUAUAAGUUUGUUCUC
Molecule: unclassified non-coding RNA, 3570 nt
Filed under: Hevea brasiliensis (rubber tree)
Lineage: Eukaryota; Viridiplantae; Streptophyta; Magnoliopsida; Malpighiales; Euphorbiaceae
Source: RNAcentral